This is a long non-coding RNA of Capsicum annuum, 451 nucleotides long. RefSeq lists it as uncharacterized. NCBI's taxonomy places the organism in Eukaryota, Viridiplantae, Streptophyta, Magnoliopsida, Solanales, Solanaceae. The record is from RefSeq and is a predicted model, not a curated record. The transcript is spliced from 3 exons.
GGAAAGAACUAGUAGACACCAUAAGAGAAACAGAAAGACAUUAACAGAGAGUCUACAUGGUGUUAGCAAGUGUCUUUGUGAAGUGAUAAGAUUGAAGGCUAUUUGGUUGGUGUUCUACACAUAGUGAUGUUGUGGAACUUGUUUUAGCGAGAUACGGCUGUAGAGAGAGAGGAUCGUGGUUGACUGUAUUUACGUAUGGAUUCUAUCACUAAGGUGAGCCUUCGCAUUGUUCGUGAAGGUUGUCAUUCAUCCUUAGUUAUUUUUGGCUUAUGUUUCCUUUCGUUGGGGUUGUAUGCCCAAAAUUUGAACUCAUGUAACUCUGUGUAGAUGCUCCAUGAACUCAGUGUGGGAAUUGGGUUAGAGAUUUGUUAUCUAAACUAUUGUAGUUUUCAUAAAUUGCUAUGAGAUAUCUUGUUGGAUAAUUAUCUGGCGUUAAUGAUUAUUACGUGUA